GGGGCUGUAGUUCAGUGGCAGAAUGCUUGCCUAGCAUGUGUGGGGCACUGGGUUCAAUCCUCAGCACCCCA
Molecule: transfer RNA, 71 nt
Filed under: Marmota monax (woodchuck)
Lineage: Eukaryota; Metazoa; Chordata; Mammalia; Rodentia; Sciuridae
Rfam family: tRNA
About the family: Transfer RNA (tRNA) molecules are approximately 80 nucleotides in length.
Source: Rfam by way of RNAcentral